Molecule: ribosomal RNA, 855 nt
Filed under: Pyrenopolyporus tonngachangensis
Lineage: Eukaryota; Fungi; Ascomycota; Sordariomycetes; Xylariales; Hypoxylaceae
Description: partial large subunit ribosomal RNA
Rfam family: Eukaryotic large subunit ribosomal RNA
Source: RNAcentral
CAACAGGGAUUGCCCUAGUAACGGCGAGUGAAGCGGCAACAGCUCAAAUUUGAAAUCUGGCCCUCGCGGUCCGAGUUGUAAUUUGUAGAGGAUGCUUUGGGCGCGGCGCCUUCCAAGUUCCCUAGAACGGGACGCCUUAGAGGGUGAGAGCCCCGUACGGUUGGACGCCUAGCCUAUGUAUAGCUCCUUCGACGAGUCGAGUAGUUUGGGAAUGCUGCUCUAAAUGGGAGGUAAAUUUCUUCUAAAGCUAAAUACCGGCCAGAGACCGAUAGCGCACAAGUAGAGUGAUCGAAAGAUGAAAAGUACUUUGAAAAGAGGGUUAAAUAGCACGUGAAAUUGUUGAAAGGGAAGCGUUUGCGACCAGACCUUUUCCAGGCGGAUCAUCCGGCGUUCUCGCCGGUGCACUUCGCCUGGUUUAGGCCAGCAUCGGUUUUCCCAGGGGGAUAAAGGCGGCGGGAACGUAGCUCUUUCGGGAGUGUUAUAGCCCGCCGCGCAAUACCCUUGGGGGGACCGAGGACCGCGCUUCGGCAAGGAUGCUGGCGUAAUGGUCGUCAACGACCCGUCUUGAAACACGGACCAAGGAGUCGAACAUUUGUGCGAGUGUUUGGGUGUCAAACCCUCACGCGUAAUGAAAGUGAACGGAGGUGAGAGCCCCUCGCGGGGUGCAUCAUCGACCGAUCCUGAUGUCUUCGGAUGGAUUUGAGUAAGAGCAUAACUGUUCGGACCCGAAAGAUGGUGAACUAUGCGUGGAUAGGGUGAAGCCAGAGGAAACUCUGGUGGAGGCUCGCAGCGGUUCUGACGUGCAAAUCGAUCGUCAAAUCUGCGCAUGGGGGGCGAAAGACUUAUCGAACCAUC